RNAcentral lists this transfer RNA (74 nucleotides) under Clostridia bacterium. RNAcentral's name for it is "tRNA-Gln". It matches the Rfam family "tRNA". Rfam says of the family: Transfer RNA (tRNA) molecules are approximately 80 nucleotides in length. Lineage: Bacteria; Bacillati; Bacillota; Clostridia. The record is from RNAcentral.
AGCGGAAUGGUGAAAGGGUAUCACACCGGCCUCUGACUCCGAUAUUCUUGGUUCGAAUCCAGGUUCCGCUGCCA